RNAcentral lists this ribosomal RNA (253 nucleotides) under uncultured bacterium. RNAcentral's name for it is "partial 16S ribosomal RNA". It matches the Rfam family "Bacterial small subunit ribosomal RNA", at positions 524 to 776 of the family's 1533-position model. The record is from RNAcentral.
UACGAAGGGGGCUAGCGUUGUUCGGAAUUACUGGGCGUAAAGCGCACGUAGGCGGAUCUUUAAGUCAGAGGUGAAAUCCCAAGGCUCAACCUUGGAACUGCCUUUGAUACUGGGGAUCUUGAGUCCGGGAGAGGUGAGUGGAACUGCGAGUGUAGAGGUGAAAUUCGUAGAUAUUCGCAAGAACACCAGUGGCGAAGGCGGCUCACUGGCCCGAUACUGACGCUGAGGCACGAAAGCGUGGGGAGCAAACAGG